UACGUAGGUGACAAGCGUUGUCCGGAUUUACUGGGCGUAAAGAGCGCGCAGGCGGUCGAUCAAGUCGAGUGUGAAAGCCCCCGGCUCAACUGGGGAGGGUCAUUCGAUACUGAUCGACUCGAAGGCAGGAGAGGGUAGUGGAAUUCCCGGUGUAGUGGUGAAAUGCGUAGAUAUCGGGAGGAACACCUGCGAUGUAGAUGGCUUACUGGACCGUAACUGACGCUGAGGCACGAAAGCGUGGGUAGCAAACAGG
RNAcentral lists this ribosomal RNA (253 nucleotides) under uncultured bacterium. RNAcentral describes it as "partial 16S ribosomal RNA". It matches the Rfam family "Bacterial small subunit ribosomal RNA", at positions 524 to 776 of the family's 1533-position model. The record is from RNAcentral.